Microcebus murinus (gray mouse lemur) is the source of this 556-nucleotide non-coding RNA. Lineage: Eukaryota; Metazoa; Chordata; Mammalia; Primates; Cheirogaleidae. The record is from RefSeq and is a predicted model, not a curated record.
AUGGUGAGAUUUGUCAUCAGGAUCCGUGGUAUCAAUGGUGUGAGCCCAAAGGUCCGAAAGGUGUUGCAGCUUCUUCGCCUUCGGCAGAUCUUCAAUGGAACCUUUGUUAAGCUCAACAAGGCUUCAAUUAACAUGCUGAGGAUUGUAGAACCAUAUAUUGCAUGGGGGUACCCAAACCUAAAGUCAGUAAAUGAACUAAUCUACAAGCGUGGUUAUGGCAAAAUCAAUAAGAAACGAAUUGCGUUGACAGAUAACGAUUUGAUUGCUCGAUCUCUUGGUAAAUAUGGCAUCAUCUGCAUGGAGGAUCUGAUUCAUGAGAUCUAUACUGUUGGGAAACGCUUCAAAGAAGCAAAUAAUUUCCUGUGGCCCUUCAAGUUAUCAUCUCCACGGGGUGGAAUGAAGAAAAAGACAACCCAUUUUGUAGAAGGUGGAGAUGCUGGCAACAGGGAGGACCAGAUCAAUAGGCUUAUCAGAAGAAUGAACUAAGGUGUCUACCAUGAUUAUUUUUGUAAUCUGGUCAGUUAAUAAACAGUAACUGCUUUCAAAAAAAAAAAAA